GAAAAGAGGCAUAUUCCCCAAAGUCGCGACAAAUAUCAUGAGAGCGUGGCUCUUCCAGCAUCUCACACACCCGUACCCUUCAGAAGAGCAGAAGAAGCAGUUAGCACAAGACACGGGGCUGACAAUUCUGCAAGUGAACAACUGGUUUAUUAAUGCCAGAAGAAGAAUAGUACAGCCCAUGAUUGACCAGUCAAAUCGAGCAGUGAGCCAAGGAGCAGCGUAUAGUCCAGAGGGUCAGCCUAUGGGGAGCUUUGUAUUGGAUGGUCAGCAACACAUGGGGAUCCGGCCCGCAGGACCCAUGAGUGGAAUGGGCAUGAAUAUGGGCAUGGAUGGGCAAUGGCACUACAUGUAACCUUCGCCAUGUAAAGCAAUCGCAAGGCAAGGGGGAAGUUUGCAGAGCAUGCCAGGGGACUACGUUUCUCAGGGUGGUCCAGUGGGAAUGGGUAUGGCCCAGCCGAGUUACACUCCUCCCCAGAUGACCCCACACCCUACUCAGUUAAGACAUGGACCCCCAAUGCAUUCAUAUUUGCCAAGCCAUCCCCACCACCCAGCCAUGAUGAUGCACGGAGGACCCCCUACCCACCCUGGAAUGACUAUGUCAGCACAGAGCCCCACAAUGUUAAAUUCUGUAGAUCCCAAUGUUGGCGGACAGGUUAUGGACAUUCAUGCCCAAUAGUAUAAGGGAACUCAAGGAAGAAGGAAACACACGCAAAAACUAUUGACUAAGACUCUCCGAACUUUGACCAGAUGUGACACUUAAUAUGAAACUCCAGACAGCUGUGAUUAUUUUUUACUUUUGUCAUUUUUCAUCAAGCAACAGAGGACCAAUGGGACAAGAACACAAAUGUGAAGCGAUGGGGGUCAUCGAGACAAUUUUGUCCAUGCAAAGAUCCUCUGGAGAAAGACUCCGAGAGUUAUAACUACUGUAGCAUAAACAUAGGGACUAAGUUAAACUUGUACAUUUCUGUUGAUCACUCCGUUAUGUUGCCUCAAAUAGUUUUAGAAGAGAAAAAAAUAUAUCCUUGUUUUCCACACUAUGUGUGUUGUUCCCAAAAGAAUGACUGUCUUGGUUCAUCAGUGAAUUCACUAUCCAGAAGAGAACUGUGGUAUAUUUUAAAUCUGUUGGGCCAAUGAGAAAAGAACCACGCUGCGGAGAGAGAUGGACACUUGGCUGAACCUCAUCACUAACUCCAGCGGCUAGAAUGUGUUUUCAUGCCCGGCCUUUGUUCCCCCGUCCGUGUGUCCUUUAGUUUCAAACAGAUCUUUAUAGUUUGUGCUUCAUAAGCCAAUUCUUAUUAUGAUUUUGGGGGACUGUUCUUCAAAGAGCUUGCCAGUGAAGAUUUAGAGACAAAGCGAAGACUUCUUCAAGUCCCAAGCCUUGGCUAUGGACAAAGCAAUCUUAAGUUGGACAGCUUCCUCAACACGCGCACAUGUGUGCGCGAGCGCACACACACACACACACACACACACACACACACACACACAGAAAUUAUUCAUGGUCAUUGCACCAUAAGAUUCUAUCAGGAACUCAAAGCUUGGGGGAUAAAACGGAGCAAGAGAAUACUGUAACAAACUUCGUACAGAGUUCGGUCUUUUAAUUGUUUCAUGUUAGAUAUUCUAUGUGUUUACCUCAAUUGAAAAAAAAAAAGAAUGUUUUUGCUAGUAUCAGAUCUGCUGUGGAAUUGGUAUUGUAUGUCCAUGGGAUCCUCUUUUCUCAGCACGUGUUCCUCACUAGAAGAAAAUGCUGUUACCUUUAAGCUUUGUCAAAUUUACAUUAAAAUACUUGUAUGAGGACUGUGACGUUAUGUUAAAAAAAGGUGUUAAGUCACAAAAUGCGGUAAUAAAUAUUUCAUUUUUG
Molecule: long non-coding RNA, 1858 nt
Filed under: Rattus norvegicus (Norway rat)
Lineage: Eukaryota; Metazoa; Chordata; Mammalia; Rodentia; Muridae
Description: long non-coding RNA NONRATT019577
Source: RNAcentral